RNAcentral lists this ribosomal RNA (837 nucleotides) under uncultured archaeon. RNAcentral's name for it is "bacterial SSU rRNA". It matches the Rfam family "Archaeal small subunit ribosomal RNA", at positions 21 to 859 of the family's 1478-position model. The record is from RNAcentral.
GGUUACUGCUAUCGGUGUUCGCUUAAGCCAUGCGAGUCAUAUGUUCUUCGGAACAUGGCGUACUGCUCAGUAACACGUGGAUAACCUGCCCUUGGGUCCGGCAUAACCCCGGGAAACUGGGGAUAAUUCCGGAUAACGCACAUAUGCUGGAAUGCUUUAUGCGUCAAAUGGAUUCGUCCGCCCAAGGAUGGGUCUGCGGCCUAUCAGGUAGUAGUGGGUGUAAUGUACCUACUAGCCUACGACGGGUACGGGUUGUGAGAGCAGGAGCCCGGAGAUGGAUUCUGAGACAUGAAUCCAGGCCCUACGGGGCGCAGCAGGCGCGAAAACUUUACAAUGCGGGAAACCGUGAUAAGGGGACACCGAGUGCCAGCAUCAUAUGCUGGCUGUCCGGGUGUGUAAAAUACACCUGUUAGCAAGGGCCGGGCAAGACCGGUGCCAGCCGCCGCGGUAACACCGGCGGCCCGAGUGGUGAUCGUGAUUAUUGGGUCUAAAGGGUCCGUAGCCGGUUUGGUCAGUCCUCCGGGAAAUCUGACGGCUUAACCGUUAGGCUUUCGGGGGAUACUGCCAGACUUGGAACCGGGAGAGGUAAGAGGUACUACAGGGGUAGGAGUGAAAUCUUGUAAUCCCUGUGGGACCACCUGUGGCGAAGGCGUCUUACCAGAACGGGUUCGACGGUGAGGGACGAAAGCUGGGGGCACGAACCGGAUUAGAUACCCGGGUAGUCCCAGCCGUAAACGAUGCUCGCUAGGUGUCAGGCAUGGCGCGACCGUGUCUGGUGCCGCAGGGAAGCCGUGAAGCGAGCCACCUGGGAAGUACGGCCGCAAGGCUGAAACUUAA